UAAUCUCUAACUGAACCAAAUAACAAAAGCUUAAGCUUAAGCAUCCACACACACAGAAAAUGCAAAACAAAUCUCACAUAAAAUUGUCCCAAGUCAGAUACAUGGGAAACCAAGGUGAGAUGCUCAUGUUUCUUAUAGGAAACAAUAACCAUAGGUAAAUACAUACAUUAUUGUCCUGUCCGAAGGUACUUAGUUGUACUUCAAGUGGUACUGGGACAUGAAACUAAGCCAUUGAAAUUUUUGUAACAGAAUAGAUGGUAACACCAAUGUAGGCCAUGAACAAAAAUACAAAGAAGAACAUAAUCAAGCAUAAGCCACCUCGACCGAAGCAACGGUUGAUCAACAGCAGGAACCUGAACCUCGUGAUGCUAGACCAUAUAUCUAUGGUUACCCUUUUUAUUUCUCCCGCCUAACCUGAAGUAGUUAUCUGGACAAAAUAGGGAGGCACACUUCAACAAAUCAGUUCUUAGUAAUUAUAGAAUGCCCUGUAUUAAAGGAAGUAAAAUCAAGCAUGUAUGUGCUCUAACUUUCAUAACUGCAUGUAAACUCAGCAACUAAC
Molecule: long non-coding RNA, 559 nt
Filed under: Triticum aestivum (bread wheat)
Lineage: Eukaryota; Viridiplantae; Streptophyta; Magnoliopsida; Poales; Poaceae
Description: long non-coding RNA (TAES_LNC013099)
Source: RNAcentral